RNAcentral lists this ribosomal RNA (144 nucleotides) under uncultured bacterium. Its description in RNAcentral is "partial 16S ribosomal RNA". It matches the Rfam family "Bacterial small subunit ribosomal RNA", at positions 355 to 509 of the family's 1533-position model. The record is from RNAcentral.
UGGGGAAUAUUGGGCAAUGGGCGAAAGCCUGACCCAGCAACGCCGCGUGAAGGAAGAAGGCCUUCGGGUUUGGUAAACUUACUUUUACCUAGGGACGAAGGACGUGACGGUACCUGGAGAAAAGACAACGGCUAACUACGUGCC